UACAGAGGGGGCGAGCGUUGUUCGGAAUUACUGGGCGUAAAGGGCGCGUAGGCGGCCCGCUAAGUCGAACGUGAAAUCCCCAGGCUCAACCUGGGAACUGCGUCCGAUACUGGCAGGCUUGAAUCCGGGAGAGGGAUGUGGAAUUCCAGGUGUAGCGGUGAAAUGCGUAGAUAUCUGGAGGAACACCAAUGGCGAAGGCAGCUCGCUGGGACGGUACUGACGCUGAGGCGCGCAAGCGUGGGGAGCAAACAGG
This 253-nucleotide ribosomal RNA is filed under the name uncultured bacterium. Its description in RNAcentral is "partial 16S ribosomal RNA". It matches the Rfam family "Bacterial small subunit ribosomal RNA", at positions 524 to 776 of the family's 1533-position model. The record is from RNAcentral.